AUUGCUUCCAUAAUUGACCUAGCGGCGGACGGGUGAGUAAUACUUAGGAAUCUGCCUAUUAAUGGGGGACAACAUCUCGAAAGGGAUGCUAAUACCGCAUACGCCCUACGGGGGAAAGCAGGGGAUCACUUGUGACCUUGCNUUAAUAGAUGAGCCUAAGUCGGAUUAGCUAGUUGGUGGGGUAAAGGCCUACCAAGGCGACNAUCUGUAGCGGGUCUGAGAGGAUGAUCCGCCNCACUGGGACUGAGACACGGCCCANACUCCUACGGGAGGCAGCAGUGGGGAAUAUUGGACAAUGGGGGGAACCCUGAUCCAGCCAUGCCGCGUGUGUGAAGAAGGCCUUAUGGUUGUAAAGCACUUUAAGCGAGGAGGAGGCUCUCUUGGUUAAUACCCAAGAAGAGUGGACGUUACUCGCAGAAUAAGCACCGGCUAACUCUGUGCCAGCAGCCGCGGUAAUACAGAGGGUGCGAGCGUUAAUCGNAUUUACUGGGCGUAAAGCGUGAGUAGGCGGCUUUUUAAGUCGGAUGUGAAAUCCCCGAGCUUAACUUGGGAAUUGCAUUCGAUACUAGGAAGCUAGAGUAUGGGAGAGGAUGGUAGAAUUCCAGGUGUAGCGGUGAAAUGCGUAGAGAUCUGGAGGAAUACCGAUGGCGAAGGCAGCCAUCUGGCCUAAUAAUGACGCUGAGGUACGAAAGCAUGGGGAGCAAACAGGAUUAGAUACCCCUGGUAGUCCAUACCGUAAACGAUGUCUACUACCCGUUGGGGCCUUUGAGGCUUUAGUGGCGCAGCUAACGCGAUAAGUAGCCCGCCUGGGGAGUACGGUCGCAAGANUAAAACUCAAAUGAAUUGNCGGGGGCCCGCACAAGCGGUGGAGCAUGUGGUUUAAUUAAGAUGCAACGCGAAGACACCUUUCCUGGUCUUGACAUAGUAAGAACUUUCCAGAGAUGGAUUGGUUCCUUCGGNAACUUACAUACAGGUGCUGCAUGGCUGUCGUCAGCUCGUGUCGUGAGAUGNUGGGNUAAGUNCCGCAACGAGCGCAACCCUUUUCCUUAUUUGCCAGCACUUCGGGUGGGAACUUUAAGGAUACUUCCAGUUACAAACUGGAGGAAGGGGGGGGCGACGUCAAGUCAUCAUGGCCCUUACGACCAGGGCUACACAUCGUGCUACAAUGGUCGGUACAAAGGGUUGCUAACCUAGGCGAUAGGAUGCUAAUCUCAAAAAGCCGAUCGUAGUCCGGAUUGGAGUCUGCAACUCGACUCC
This 1257-nucleotide ribosomal RNA is filed under the name gamma proteobacterium RBE2CD-34. RNAcentral's name for it is "bacterial SSU rRNA". It matches the Rfam family "Bacterial small subunit ribosomal RNA", at positions 74 to 1319 of the family's 1533-position model. Lineage: Bacteria; Pseudomonadati; Pseudomonadota; Gammaproteobacteria. The record is from RNAcentral.